RNAcentral lists this ribosomal RNA (497 nucleotides) under uncultured bacterium. Its description in RNAcentral is "partial 16S ribosomal RNA". It matches the Rfam family "Bacterial small subunit ribosomal RNA", at positions 28 to 507 of the family's 1533-position model. The record is from RNAcentral.
GAUGAACGCUGGCGGCGUGCCUAAUACAUGCAAGUCGAGCGAACGGACGAGAAGCUUGCUUCUCUGAUGUUAGCGGCGGACGGGUGAGUAACACGUGGAUAACCUACCUAUAAGACUGGGAUAACUUCGGGAAACCGGAGCUAAUACCGGAUAAUAUUUUGAACCGCAUGGUUCAAAAGUGAAAGACGGUCUUGCUGUCACUUAUAGAUGGAUCCGCGCUGCAUUAGCUAGUUGGUAAGGUAACGGCUUACCAAGGCAACGAUGCAUAGCCGACCUGGGAGGGGGAUCGGCCACACUGGAACUGAGACACGGUCCAGACUCCUACGGGAGGCAGCAGUAGGGAAUCUUCCGCAAUGGGCGAAAGCCUGACGGAGCAACGCCGCGUGAGUGAUGAAGGUCUUCGGAUCGUAAAACUCUGUUAUUAGGGAAGAACAUAUGUGUAAGUAACUGUGCACAUCUUGACGGUACCUAAUCAGAAAGCCACGGCUAACUACGUG